Non-coding RNA from Myotis davidii, 74 nucleotides. The record is from Rfam. Lineage: Eukaryota; Metazoa; Chordata; Mammalia; Chiroptera; Vespertilionidae.
GGUGGUUUUCGGGUGACGUCCCCCGGAAUUGGACUCCCUCUCUCUGGUUCCGGGUGCGUCACCUAAGAACCGCA